Molecule: non-coding RNA, 2361 nt
Organism: Camellia sinensis
Lineage: Eukaryota; Viridiplantae; Streptophyta; Magnoliopsida; Ericales; Theaceae
Source: RefSeq, a predicted model, not a curated record
AAUUUGAACUAACAGUCGCCCAGCCAACUACCUUGGCGAGAGAGAGAGAGAGAGGCCAACUACCUUCCCAAGAGAGAGAGGACUGCUAGGUGAAACCCCAGGAGAUUCCUCCGUCAUGGCUUUUGCUUUUGAAUUGCAACAAUGGCCGAUUCAACCCAUAAUCUCCAAGGUCAGACCCCUGUUUUUGAAUCCAUUUCAAAUUUUUGACCUACACUUUCAUUUUUUUCCACUUCUUGUUGUUCAGUAUGGAAGAAGAACCAGAGCACAAUCCCACUCCCACUCCCACUCCGUGUGUUUCUUCUUCGAAUGCAAUAGAGGGUUCAUCGUCCGAUUCACAGGUCCAUGAAGAACCAGAGCCAGAACCAGAACCAGAACCAGAACCAGAAGAGAGCAAUCAAUUACCCCAAAUUGAGGACCGCCGCCGCACAACACCCGGAGUAUCUUAUCGGCUAAACAUAUCGAUAUCCGAUUCUCCCUCGACCCACGUCAGAGAUGACGCCUGGUCUUGCCUCAUCGUGCUCGUCACAUUUUGGUUCUUUGCAUCGAUGACUGUGAUACUCGGCUUUUAUGGAUCUGUGAACUUGCCGUUGGGCCCGAAUUGCUCUUGCCUGAUACAAGUUAACCCUAUCUUUGUGAAGUCAAUUAAGGCACAGCAAAUAGAUGAGUCAAAACAUGGGCCAAUGCUAUAUGGAUUUUAUGAGCCCCCUCCUCUGGAUACUGAAAUCACCUGGUCUGAAACACAUAAUGCAUUUAUACAAUCUGCUUAUCACAAGGAGUGGGCAUACUUUCUUAACAAAGGGUCUAAAGUGAAUAUUUCAUACAGUGUCAAAUCCCCCAGUUCUGCCCCUUUGUCCCUUGUAAUAGCCCAAGGUAGAGACAGCCUUGUUGAGUGGAUAGAGGACCCAUCGUAUCCUAAUACAACUUUGUCUUGGAACAUUAUUCAUGGAAAUGGUAUCAUCCAACAGGAAAUUUUGUGGUCUAAAUUGUAUUAUAUUGCUGUGCGAAAUUUGAACUCUGAGGAGGUGGAGGUUAAACUGAACUUCACAAUAAAGGGUUUUCUCUAUAAUACAACCCAGGCAUAUUACAAGUGCUCUCUGAGUCAUCGUUUAUGUAGUUUGAAGCUUCUUCUUGUAAGGGCAAAUGCUGCUGUGUUAACUUCUCCGGCCACAGAACAGGGUGUGCCAUAUAAAGAAUGGUUUGUCAAAGUCUCUUAUGGACCACGGUGGAUUACUUAUGUUCUUGGGUCAGGUAUAAUGACUGUAAUCGUCUUACUGGCCUUUCGAAUCUGUAAAAUGUUACAAAUAACCAGGGAAGACGAAAUAGGAUUCCGAGUGGGGGAGGUGGGACCCGAAAGAGCUCCAUUGCUUUCGCAUAAAGACGAUGAUCUUUUAAGUCGGGGUUCAUCUUAUGAUUCUAUUUCACAUGAUGAGGAGGAAGUGGAUGAGUGGCUUAUAGUGCCUUCCAUUGAUGGAAAGGCAUCAAAGGAGGGGGAAAGCAAUAGCAGCCCUCGCCGUCUUUGUGUUAUAUGCUUCGAUGCCCCACGGGAUUGUUUUUUUCUUCCAUGCGGGCACUGCGCUACCUGUUUUGCAUGUGGAACAAGCGUCCAUCAAGAGCAGCGUCCAUCAAGAGCACUAAAGAAGAGGGGAAGAAAAACUAGUUGGCUGGUGUGUCCCCAACGUGUCCUGUGAAAACAAAUUAAUUAAAUAAAUAGACAUGCCAGUACGUGCCCCCUAAUGUGUGUCUGUGUCCAAUGCCACUACGUGACCUGUUUUGUAGUGUCGGGUGCUUCGUAGCCUGUUAACCACAGGUUGUGGAAGAGGCUGGUACUUGUCCCAUUUGUCGGAGGACGAUGAAGAAGGUGAGGAAGAUUUUUACCGUUUGAGCAGGACAUGCAAAAUCUGAAAAUUUGCAGAUGAAGUGAUUUGUACUUGGAGAAAUUUUAUCAAUCCACACUGAAUACAGAUGAAUAUUAUCCGUAUACGUGAAGUGAUGAUCGGAUAAAGAUUAAUGGAGGUUAUUCAUCAGAGUUUAUGGAACCUGCUAGUGGUUUUAUGCUGGUUGUCAACCUAAUGUGCAACCCCUCGUUCUUUCUUUGUGCUAGUUUGAGCUAUCACCAUGUCUCAUUGUACCUUGAUUGUUUUCCAAUGUGAAUACUUGCUUUUUGAGUGUACAUAGGCUGUAAAUGCGUAAAAAAUUUUCGAGAGGGUUUCCUCUGUUGAGUUGUUUAAUUUUUUUUGUCAUUGGGAGGUGGUGGUGGUGGUGAUAUUAUUCUUAGUUUUUUCUUCAUUUUAUUUUAUUUUGUGUUGAGGAUGGACAAAGGAGAGUGUUAAAUUUUUAGAGUAAUUUGAUGGUAGUGUCUAA